This is a non-coding RNA of Misgurnus anguillicaudatus (oriental weatherfish), 1269 nucleotides long. NCBI's taxonomy places the organism in Eukaryota, Metazoa, Chordata, Actinopteri, Cypriniformes, Cobitidae. The record is from RefSeq and is a predicted model, not a curated record.
GGCUCUCAAGUCUCACGCAUUCACCGUGAGACUCACGCAUUUCAGUAAGUUCACACGCUCACACGCCACACCUUGUAUUUCUCACGCUGAAAAAAUAAGAAAACUUUUCCCACUCUAUACAAUUAAUGAACGAGGCACAGGAGAGAAGUUCUCUGCCGAGUUCAUAUCUGUCGAGCCGCGGACACGGUCACACUAGACAUCCUGAUAUAAUUGUCACCUACCAGCCAAUCAGAAAUCAGAAUUUGUUGUUUCUGGGUAAAUUUCGUGAUCCUGCUGCAAGCACAUUCGUUACUAGGCAACAUAGAUUCUCACGUCACACAGACGAAGUGGCAGUUGGAAGAGAAGAAUCCGAUGAAAGCGGUAGGUAACGCAUUCUUUUUUAUAGCAAUUUGAUUUUACGAUUCUUGGAUGACAUCACAAAAAUGUGAUCAAAGAUAAUAAAAACUGUUGUUGGGAAAUAUAGCCGAGGUAAAUUAUUAUUGAUUAAAAAAAUCGAACUGCUUUGCAAUCAGAAUUAGCUUUAACUUUAGGAAAGUACUAAACACUAGAGGCUACCUGAAACAAUCCCAGGUGAAAAAUAUUAUAGGAAAUACUAUAGUGUUUUUGAACCAUACUAAUAGUAUAGUAAAUUUUAGUAUAUUAUAGUAUUUACAACACUUUGUUAAUGAUUGCUACAGCAUACUCUGUAUUAACUAUAGUAGUGAACUGAUAAACUGUAAUAAAUACUCUAACGUUAGUAUUCUUUAGUUUAUACUACAGUAAUCUGUAGUGUAUAUUCUAGUAUAUUAUACCCUAUAGUUGUAGACAAUGUAGUACAGUAUUGGAUAAAGUAAUACGUUUAUAUUACUAUAGUUGUUAUGUUAUCACAGCAACUAUAGAAUUACCACAACAAAUUAAUUCAAGUACAUUACUAUAGUAUGGGUCAAAAACACUAUAGUAUUUACUAUAAAUUACUAUAGUAUUUUUUUCACCUGGGAAUGGAAAGGACAAGAUAUUUCAUUUUCAUUUAUUUCAUUAUUUUCAAAUUAUACUUUAUUCAUACUCUUUUUAGCUAUUCAGCUAUACUCUGGCUUUUAUUUUAGUAAUGUUUAUAUCCUGCCAAUGUAUACAUUAAUCAUUGCAUUUAUCUGUUUAAAAGAUGUCACACAAACACACCUUGUAUUGUAAGUAUGCUCAGGGCAAGUUCUGCAAUGUUGCUGUUCAGUUGGCUCAUUUGGGGCAAUUUUUUAUAUAUUUGUAUUUUUGAAAUAAAACAAUGUAUUUAAUUUC